RNAcentral lists this ribosomal RNA (481 nucleotides) under uncultured bacterium. Its description in RNAcentral is "partial 16S ribosomal RNA". It matches the Rfam family "Bacterial small subunit ribosomal RNA", at positions 28 to 507 of the family's 1533-position model. The record is from RNAcentral.
GAUGAACGCUGGCGGCGUGCUUAACACAUGCAAGUCGAACGAAGCACUUUAUUUGAUUUCCUUCGGGACUGAUUAUUUUGUGACUGAGUGGCGGACGGGUGAGUAACGCGUGGGUAACCUGCCUUGUACAGGGGGAUAACAGUUGGAAACGGCUGCUAAUACCGCAUAAGCGCACGGCAUCGCAUGAUGCAGUGUGAAAAACUCCGGUGGUAUAAGAUGGACCCGCGUUGGAUUAGCUAGUUGGUGAGGUAACGGCCCACCAAGGCGACGAUCCAUAGCCGACCUGAGAGGGUGACCGGCCACAUUGGGACUGAGACACGGCCCAAACUCCUACGGGAGGCAGCAGUGGGGAAUAUUGCACAAUGGGCGAAAGCCUGAUGCAGCGACGCCGCGUGAGCGAAGAAGUAUUUCGGUAUGUAAAGCUCUAUCAGCAGGGAAGAUAAUGACGGUACCUGAAUAAGAAGCACCGGCUAAAUACGUG